UGGCCUCAAAUCAGGUAAGAUUACCCGCUGAACUUAA
This 37-nucleotide ribosomal RNA is filed under the name Meira argovae. RNAcentral's name for it is "partial 28S rRNA". The record is from RNAcentral. Lineage: Eukaryota; Fungi; Basidiomycota; Exobasidiomycetes; Exobasidiales; Brachybasidiaceae.